AAAUAGUUUAAGAUGAGCUUCUAACUCAUUAGUUAAUAGAAAAUUCUGUUCUAUUUU
RNAcentral lists this transfer RNA (57 nucleotides) under Tetraponera rufonigra. Its description in RNAcentral is "tRNA-Ser". Lineage: Eukaryota; Metazoa; Arthropoda; Insecta; Hymenoptera; Formicidae. The record is from RNAcentral.